UACUUCUUGCGAACCACACCAAUGAUGUUC
This 30-nucleotide non-coding RNA is filed under the name Rattus norvegicus (Norway rat). The record is from RNAcentral. Lineage: Eukaryota; Metazoa; Chordata; Mammalia; Rodentia; Muridae.